Molecule: unclassified non-coding RNA, 402 nt
Filed under: Hevea brasiliensis (rubber tree)
Lineage: Eukaryota; Viridiplantae; Streptophyta; Magnoliopsida; Malpighiales; Euphorbiaceae
Source: RNAcentral
GCCACAGCCACAGCCACAGCCACAAUCCUAGGCGCCACAUCAAUAAUAAUUUAACAAUAAAAGAUUGGAAAUAUAGAACAGACAGCAAAACUGUUGAUUAAUUUGAGAUGUUCAUUGCACAAACAACAUUUUAGUGGAAGAAAUAAUAAUCCUAACAAAUACGUGAAAUCUUGAAUAUAGCACAUAUUAUAAAGAAGUAAUGCUAAAUAAAAACAGUAAUAUCCAAAGCACAAAAAAUCCCUUCUUUUCCCAAACUGCAGACACUACCAUGUGUUGCGCAUGUGUGUACACAUUGAUACCACCAUGCAGGCUACAUCAUUUCAUCAUAUAACAGGGCAUAUUUAUCUAUAAAUCUUCAUGAAAAUUUCAGAAUUCUGCAUUGUCAAAAAAAAAAAAAAAAAA